GGCCUACGGGACGCAGCAGUGGGGAAUAUUGCACAAUGGGGGGAACCCUGAUGCAGCAAUGCCGCGUGGGUGAAGAAGCACUCCGGUGCGUAAAGCCCUGUCAGCAGGGAAGAAAAUGACGGUACCUGAGUAAGAAGCUCCGGCUAAAUACGUGCCAGCAGCCGCGGUAAUACGUAUGGAGCAAGCGUUAUCCGGAUUUACUGGGCGUAAAGGGAGCGUAGGCGGCCUGCCAAGUCUGAUGUGAAAUACCGGGGCUCAACCCCGGGGCUGCAUUGGAAACUGGCAGGCUGGAGUGCCGGAGAGGG
This 305-nucleotide ribosomal RNA is filed under the name uncultured bacterium. RNAcentral describes it as "bacterial SSU rRNA". It matches the Rfam family "Bacterial small subunit ribosomal RNA", at positions 335 to 658 of the family's 1533-position model. The record is from RNAcentral.